AGGAAUUUAGGUUAACCCUAGACCAAGAGCCUUCAAAGCUCUAAGCAAGUAACUAUACUUAAUUCCUG
RNAcentral lists this transfer RNA (68 nucleotides) under Sundasciurus everetti (Bornean mountain ground squirrel). Its description in RNAcentral is "Dremomys everetti tRNA-Trp". The record is from RNAcentral. Lineage: Eukaryota; Metazoa; Chordata; Mammalia; Rodentia; Sciuridae.